Glycine soja is the source of this 1020-nucleotide long non-coding RNA. RefSeq lists it as uncharacterized. The transcript is spliced from 3 exons. Lineage: Eukaryota; Viridiplantae; Streptophyta; Magnoliopsida; Fabales; Fabaceae. The record is from RefSeq and is a predicted model, not a curated record.
UUGGCUUGUUGAUUUUUUUUAUGAAUGUAGAGAAGGUGGAAGAACAUGCUAAAGCUGCGAUUUUUGUCUCAAAAACUCCAUGAGUGCAGAGAAGAUGGAAGAACACGCUAAAGCUGCGAUUUUUAUCUCAAAAACUUCAUGAGUACAGGUUUAUAAACACAAAAGCUUAAAUUUUUUUGGGUGCUUUGCCUUUAUUUUGUUUUUUGACUUCUAGCAAUACAAAAGUUUAAACUUUUUUGUAUUCCUGAGCCUUCUCCAACAUGCUCAUUGUUUCCUAUACCCAGCUUUUUGUGUUUUCGUCCUUUUUUGGUGGUCUAAUGGUUCAAUAUAUUUUUUGGUAUGUUGAUUUUUUUUAUGAAUGCAGAGAAGGUGGAAGAACACACUAAAGUUGCGAUUUUUAUCUAAAAAACUCCAUGAGUACAGGUUCGUAAACACAAAAGCUUAAAUUUUUUUGGGUGUUCUGCCUUUAUUUUGUUUUCUGACUUCUCGCAAUGCAAAAGUUUAAACUUUUUUGUGUUCUUGAGCCUUCUCCAACGUACUCAUUGUUUCCUAUACCCAAUUUUUUGUGUUUUCGUCCUUUUUCGGUUCCUGGGAUUUUUGCCGGUCAAAUCCUUAUGUUUCCCUUAUUUUUGUUUCAUGUUUUUCUUUUGUUUGCUUUACCAUCUUUAACUUUUCUAUAUACUGACUGCACUUGCGCUAUGUUCUUGGCCGAGAACAACAAAUAAUCCGAGAACGACAACUCUCAGAAAGAACACCAGUCAUAGGUAUCCCCCAACCGUAACUACAGAAAGCAAUGUUAUGGGAUGAAGAGGAGUCCAGUUGAAUAUUGAAGUCCAGAAUCCAUUUCCUUUUUUCAAUUGUUUGUUGCCAAAAAAUUUAUGUAACUUUGUUUUAUAUUUAAUUUUUGGAUGUUGUUAUUUAAUUCCCUUGGGGAAGGAGACAAUAUUUUAUAGCGGUUUACAUUUUAUCAACAACAACGUCACCAAAAGAAUCAUAUAUUAAAAUGUGUUUUCAAUAAAA